UUAAGCGACUAAGCGUACACGGUGGAUGCCCUGGCAGUCAGAGGCGAUGAAGGACGUGCUAAUCUGCGAUAAGCGUCGGUAAGGUGAUAUGAACCGUUAUAACCGGCGAUUUCCGAAUGGGGAAACCCAGUGUGUUUCGACACACUAUCAUUAACUGAAUCCAUAGGUUAAUGAGGCGAACCGGGGGAACUGAAACAUCUAAGUACCCCGAGGAAAAGAAAUCAACCGAGAUUCCCCCAGUAGCGGCGAGCGAACGGGGAGCAGCCCAGAGCCUGAAUCAGUAUGUGUGUUAGUGGAAGCGUCUGGAAAGGCGCGCGAUACAGGGUGACAGCCCCGUACACAAAAAUGCACAUGCUGUGAGCUCGAUGAGUAGGGCGGGACACGUGGUAUCCUGUCUGAUAUGGGGGACCAUCCUCCAAGGCUAAUACUCCUGACUGACCGAUAGUGACCAGUACCGUGAGGGAAAGGCGAAAAAGAACCCCGGCGAGGGGAGUGAAAAAGAACCUGAAACCGUGUACGUACAAGCAGUGGGAGCACAGAGCAAUCUGUGUGACUGCGUACCUUCUGUAUAAUGGGUCAGCGACUUUAUAUUCUGUAGCAAGGUUAACCGAAUAGGGGAGCCGAAGGGAAACCGAGUCUUAACUGGGCGUUAAGUUGCAGGGUAUAGACCCGAAACCCGGUGAUCUAGCCAUGGGCAGGUUGAAGGUUGGGUAACACUAACUGGAGGACCGAACCGACUAAUGUUGAAAAAUUAGCGGAUGACUUGUGGCUGGGGGUGAAAGGCCAAUCAAACCGGGAGAUAGCUGGUUCUCCCCGAAAGCUAUUUAGGUAGCGCCUCGUGAAUUCAUCUCCGGGGGUAGAGCACUGUUUCGGCAAGGGGGUCAUCCCGACUUACCAACCCGAUGCAAACUGCGAAUACCGGAGAAUGUUAUCACGGGAGACACACGGCGGGUGCUAACGUCCGUCGUGAAGAGGGAAACAACCCAGACCGCCAGCUAAGGUCCCAAAGUCAUGGUUAAGUGGGAAACGAUGUGGGAAGGCCCAGACAGCCAGGAUGUUGGCUUAGAAGCAGCCAUCAUUUAAAGAAAGCGUAAUAGCUCACUGGUCGAGUCGGCCUGCGCGGAAGAUGUAACGGGGCUAAACCAUGCACCGAAGCUGCGGCAGCGACGCUUAUGCGUUGUUGGGUAGGGGAGCGUUCUGUAAGCCUGUGAAGGUGUGCUGUGAGGCAUGCUGGAGGUAUCAGAAGUGCGAAUGCUGACAUAAGUAACGAUAAAGCGGGUGAAAAGCCCGCUCGCCGGAAGACCAAGGGUUCCUGUCCAACGUUAAUCGGGGCAGGGUGAGUCGACCCCUAAGGCGAGGCCGAAAGGCGUAGUCGAUGGGAAACAGGUUAAUAUUCCUGUACUUGGUGUUACUGCGAAGGGGGGACGGAGAAGGCUAUGUUGGCCGGGCGACGGUUGUCCCGGUUUAAGCGUGUAGGCUGGUUUUCCAGGCAAAUCCGGAAAAUCAAGGCUGAGGCGUGAUGACGAGGCACCACGGUGCUGAAGCAACAAAUGCCCUGCUUCCAGGAAAAGCCUCUAAGCAUCAGGUAACAUCAAAUCGUACCCCAAACCGACACAGGUGGUCAGGUAGAGAAUACCAAGGCGCUUGAGAGAACUCGGGUGAAGGAACUAGGCAAAAUGGUGCCGUAACUUCGGGAGAAGGCACGCUGAUAUGUAGGUGAAGUCCCUCGCGGAUGGAGCUGAAAUCAGUCGAAGAUACCAGCUGGCUGCAACUGUUUAUUAAAAACACAGCACUGUGCAAACACGAAAGUGGACGUAUACGGUGUGACGCCUGCCCGGUGCCGGAAGGUUAAUUGAUGGGGUUAGCGCAAGCGAAGCUCUUGAUCGAAGCCCCGGUAAACGGCGGCCGUAACUAUAACGGUCCUAAGGUAGCGAAAUUCCUUGUCGGGUAAGUUCCGACCUGCACGAAUGGCGUAAUGAUGGCCAGGCUGUCUCCACCCGAGACUCAGUGAAAUUGAACUCGCUGUGAAGAUGCAGUGUACCCGCGGCAAGACGGAAAGACCCCGUGAACCUUUACUAUAGCUUGACACUGAACAUUGAGCCUUGAUGUGUAGGAUAGGUGGGAGGCUUUGAAGUGUGGACGCCAGUCUGCAUGGAGCCGACCUUGAAAUACCACCCUUUAAUGUUUGAUGUUCUAACGUUGACCCGUAAUCCGGGUUGCGGACAGUGUCUGGUGGGUAGUUUGACUGGGGCGGUCUCCUCCUAAAGAGUAACGGAGGAGCACGAAGGUUGGCUAAUCCUGGUCGGACAUCAGGAGGUUAGUGCAAUGGCAUAAGCCAGCUUGACUGCGAGCGUGACGGCGCGAGCAGGUGCGAAAGCAGGUCAUAGUGAUCCGGUGGUUCUGAAUGGAAGGGCCAUCGCUCAACGGAUAAAAGGUACUCCGGGGAUAACAGGCUGAUACCGCCCAAGAGUUCAUAUCGACGGCGGUGUUUGGCACCUCGAUGUCGGCUCAUCACAUCCUGGGGCUGAAGUAGGUCCCAAGGGUAUGGCUGUUCGCCACUUAAAGUGGUACGCGAGCUGGGUUUAGAACGUCGUGAGACAGUUCGGUCCCUAUCUGCCGUGGGCGCUGGAGAACUGAGGGGGGCUGCUCCUAGUACGAGAGGACCGGAGUGGACGCAUCACUGGUGUUCGGGUUGUCAUGCCAAUGGCACUGCCCGGUAGCUAAAUGCGGAAGAGAUAAGUGCUGAAAGCAUCUAAGCACGAAACUUGCCCCGAGAUGAGUUCUCCCUGACUCCUUGAGAGUCCUGAAGGAACGUUGAAGACGACGACGUUGAUAGGCCGGGUGUGUAAGCGCAGCGAUGCGUUGAGCUAACCGGUACUAAUGAACCGUGAGGCUUAACCUU
Molecule: ribosomal RNA, 2902 nt
Filed under: Escherichia coli DEC9E
Lineage: Bacteria; Pseudomonadati; Pseudomonadota; Gammaproteobacteria; Enterobacterales; Enterobacteriaceae
Description: bacterial LSU rRNA
Rfam family: Bacterial large subunit ribosomal RNA
Source: RNAcentral